This 1251-nucleotide ribosomal RNA is filed under the name Triticum aestivum (bread wheat). RNAcentral describes it as "partial small subunit ribosomal RNA". The record is from RNAcentral. Lineage: Eukaryota; Viridiplantae; Streptophyta; Magnoliopsida; Poales; Poaceae.
AUGCUAGAAACUGACCAAGCCAGCAAGGUAUCAAAGGUGCUCGACGACGAUGACCUCCUCAGGGAGAUCAUUAUCCGCGUCGGCUUCCCCACCACCCUUGUCCGUGCUGCCCUUGUCUGCAAGCGCUGGUACCAUCAUGCCUCUGAACCCGCCUUCCUCCGCCAUUUUUGCGAGCGCCACCUGUCCUGCCUCCUUGGCUUCUACGUCGAGGAUAGGGAAGAUCAUAAAAUGGCUUCUAUUCGGUUCUUCAGUUUGCUAAAUAAGCCCCGAGAACUUGCUGCCAUCGUCCGCUCUCUGCUGGGCUACAGUUGGGACGCCUACCGCAGCGCGCCGGCCAACUUCCUCUGCUCCCGGAACGGCAGAGUCUUCAUCAGCUUGUACGACCAGGUCAACCGCAGCAAAUUUACAGUUGGGGCGCACAGUCCAUUAUGUCCUGAGAGAGGCCUGACUGUUGUCCCACCAUUCCCACACAUUGAAAUCCAGGAUGGCUAUUCCCGCACGAUGAAUGAUCUCUUCUCCGUAGAUGAAGUCAAUGACUUGUCCUUGUUGCAUGUGUUGGUGGUGUCUAACAUGCAGAGAACAAAAUCUACGGUGCACGUACAUAUGUGGCGACAUGGUGAUGGUGUGUGGCGCACGUAUCUUACCUUGGACACAGACCAGCUCCUUGAUCCACGACGGGAACCAAAAUCUGUGCUCGCCAACAAUAAAAUCUACAUAGCAAGCGCCCAGAGCGACAUUGUUGUCUUUGAUUUGAUUGCCUCGAGCAUCUCUAUGUUUCAGCUCCCACAAGGGGUGGAGUAUGGCGAUACAGAUACCAUGUUGGCACAGGCUCAGGAUGCUUCUGGUGUGUAUCUCAUCCAUGCAAAGAAGCUUCAGCUUCACAUUUGGCUCCACAAGGGGGACAACUGGUUACUGGUGGACACCAUUUGUUUGCGUGAGAUGGUAGCUAAUAUGUGGAUUCCAGGUUACAGGGUUGAAGAUGAUUCCUACGCUCCUCUCCGGAUAAAGCAUGUGGGGGACCAUGCUGAGUUUAUGUUCUUGGAGAUGGGUCGAUGCGCACUUCAAUUAGAUGUCAAGUGCAUGCAGUUGCGUAAAGUGUAUGUCAUGGCAGAAGAAGAAGUGCGUUUGGGUGAUAUCCAUCCUCUUAAGAUGAUUUGGCCGCCCAUAUUCCCUGCGCUCAAGGAUAAUCCUGCAAGGUUUGCCUUUUGGCCUUCAGAUGAUUUGUAUAUUGCUUUUGUUCGGGUUACAUAG